This 75-nucleotide transfer RNA is filed under the name Marmota monax (woodchuck). RNAcentral's name for it is "tRNA.Val". The record is from RNAcentral. Lineage: Eukaryota; Metazoa; Chordata; Mammalia; Rodentia; Sciuridae.
UUGUGUGUGGCUCAGGGGUAGAAUGCUUGCCUAACCCACAUGAGGCACUGGGUUCAAUCCUCAGUACCACAUAAA